GACGAACGCUGGCGGCGUGCUUAACACAUGCAAGUCGAACGGAAAGGCCCUGCUUUUGUGGGGUGCUCGAGUGGCGAACGGGUGAGUAACACGUGAGUAACCUGCCCUUGACUUUGGGAUAACUUCAGGAAACUGGGUCUAAUACCGGAUAGGAGCUCCUGCUGCAUGGUGGGGGUUGGAAAGUUUCGGCGGUUGGGGAUGGACUCGCGGCUUAUCAGCUUGUUGGUGGGGUAGUUGCUUACCAAGGCUUUGACGGGUAGCCGGCAUGAGAGGGUGACCGGCGACAUGGGGACUGAGAUACGGACCAGACUACUACGGGAGGCAGAAGUGGGGAAUAUUGCACAAUGGGCGGAAGCCUGAUGAAGAAACGCCGCGUGCGGGAUGACGGCCUUCGGGUUGUAAAAAGAUUUAGCAUGUGACGAAGCGUGAGUGACGGUAAUGGGUAAAGAAGCACCGGCUAACUACGUG
Molecule: ribosomal RNA, 468 nt
Filed under: uncultured bacterium
Lineage: Bacteria
Description: partial 16S ribosomal RNA
Rfam family: Bacterial small subunit ribosomal RNA
Source: RNAcentral